UCUCUGGUGGUCCAGUGGCUAAGACUCUGCACUCCCACUGCAGGAGGCCUGGGUUUGAUCCCUGGUCAGGAAA
Molecule: transfer RNA, 73 nt
Filed under: Bos taurus (domestic cattle)
Lineage: Eukaryota; Metazoa; Chordata; Mammalia; Artiodactyla; Bovidae
Also listed under: 3 other names
Rfam family: tRNA
About the family: Transfer RNA (tRNA) molecules are approximately 80 nucleotides in length.
Source: Rfam by way of RNAcentral